Molecule: non-coding RNA, 1118 nt
Organism: Microcebus murinus (gray mouse lemur)
Lineage: Eukaryota; Metazoa; Chordata; Mammalia; Primates; Cheirogaleidae
Source: RefSeq, a predicted model, not a curated record
CCUCCGCACCCCUUCUCCCCAACGUCCCUCCGCCCCGGAACCUCAGUGUCCACCCUGACGCGGUCCCACCCUCAAACCACUAGCCCUUAUCUCCCGUGAGAACUGCAGAACCACUCCCCUUCCUGCCCACCUCUUCUCCUGGUUUACAGAUGAGGACAUCAACCUGCCAUUUGGAGUCAGACAUCCUGGGGGUGAGUGGUGACGUCCCACUCUCCAGCUUCUUGCAGCUCAGAGAGUGGUCGUGGGAGCAUCAGCGCCUGGGAGCCAGUUAGAAAAGCCCAACGGUGGCCCCGCCCAGACCUGCUGAGUCCGAACCUGCGCUUCGACAAGUUUCCCUGCGAGCUUCUCGGGCACAGUGAAGUUGGAGAAGUUGAGUGCCGGGCCGCUCUCCCGCAUCCGCAGGUGCAGAACAGAGAAAAGACAGGAUCAAACAUUCUUCUACCUGCCCAGACGAUGGCUUCUUCAGUGAAGCACACAGCCACUGUCCAUUUCCAGAGAAACUACCACUUCAUCAGCAAAAUACUUAGUGACAGUGUGUUGGCAGACAUUUGUUCAGUUGUCACAACAGGUAGAAUGCAAGUUCUCAGACAACAAAGUCCAGUCCUUAAGGGUCCAUCAACAAAGACUAGAAGCUAAACUUUUUCAAAUAGAGGAACAACACCAGGAAAAGAAGAAGAAAUCCCUGGAAAGCACAGAUUUGUUCAACAUUGAAUUUAAAAUGUUAUGUGGAAGUAUAGAAGUGGAUGUGGAGAAAAUUGUAGCUGAAAAGGCACAGGCAGCGGAACAAGCCCGCCAGCGGCAGAGAAGGGGAGAAAGAGGCAGCAGAGAAAGCUGAAUGCAGCCGGAGAAGGAUUGUUCUCGAGGAAGAGCCAGUGACUGAUAAAACCAAAGGAAAAGAAGAAGGCAAGAACAUUCCAAAAGAGGUAGAGGAGACACAACUUGAAGAAACGACAGAAAGCCAACAAAGUAGUGAAGAAGGCAUAUCUGCUCCUGAGGCUAAAGCAAGCGGAUAGGAGGGGCAGCAGUGUGGCAGGGGACAGAGCCAGUGGCAGUAACACCGCGUCUGAGUGCAACAGUGCCAUAGCCAGGGAGCCACCGACAGAUCCCAUCACAGAAGA